This 162-nucleotide unclassified non-coding RNA is filed under the name uncultured fungus. RNAcentral's name for it is "sequence contains ITS1". The record is from RNAcentral. Lineage: Eukaryota; Fungi.
CCGAGUGAGGGCCCUCCGGGUCCAACCUCCCACCCGUGUUUAUCGUACCUUGUUGCUUCGGCGGGCCCGCCGGGGGGCGUCCGUCCCCGGGUCCGCGCCCGCCGAAGACGCCUGUGAACGCUGUAUGAAGAUUGCAGUCUGAGCGAAUAGCUAAAUUUAUUA